Solanum tuberosum (potato) is the source of this 1625-nucleotide non-coding RNA. Lineage: Eukaryota; Viridiplantae; Streptophyta; Magnoliopsida; Solanales; Solanaceae. The record is from Rfam.
AACAUGGCCCUGUAGAAAGCAUAUAGCCUUCUUAGGAGUCAAUAUAGCCUUGUAGGCAACUCAUUAUCCGUGAAGGAAUGACGGCUCGUGGUCUACCACUUUUGCUCAGUAGUUGGUCAAAAAUAUGUGGACUUCAAUCGAUGGAACGACCCACGGUCCAUAGGUCUAAGCGGGAUCUGCCCAUUGUCGUGAUGAUUCAUGAUAACUCGACGGAUCGCACGACCAUCGUGACGGUGACGCAUCAUUCACAUUUCUGCCCUAUCAACUUUCGAUGGUACGAUAGUCGCCUACCAUGGUAGUGACAGGUGAUGGAGAAUUAGGGUUCAAUUCCGGAGGGGGAGCCUAAGAAACGGCUACCACAUCCAAGGAAGGUCGUAGGUGCGAAAAUUACCCAAUUCUGACACGGGGAGGUAGUGACAAUAAAUAACAGUACCGGGCACUACGAGUUUGGUAAUUGCAAUGAGUACAAUCUAAAUCCCUCAAUGAGGAUCCAUUGGAGGGCAAGUCAAGUGCUAGCAGUCGCGGUAAUUCUAGCUCCAAUAGCGUAUAUUUAAGUUGUUGUAAUUAAAAAGCUCGUAGUUGGACUUUGGGAUGGGCCAGUCGGUACGUCCUAGGUGUGCACCGGUCAUCUCGUCCCUUCUGUCGGCGAUGUGCUCCUGGCCUUAAUUGGCUGGGUUGUGCCUCCGGCACUUUUACUUUUAACAAAUUAGAGUGCUCAAAGCAGCCUACACUCUGUAUACAUUAGCAUUGGAUAAAAUUAUAGGAUUUCGUUCUUAUUACAUUCGCCUUCGGAAUCGAAUUAAUGAUUAACAGGGACCAUUGGGGGCAUUCAAAUUUCAUAGUCAGAGGUGAAAUUUUUAGAUAUAUGAAAGACGAACAACUGCGAAAUCAUUUGCCAAGGAUGUUUUAAUUAAUCAAGAAUGAAAGUUGGGGGCUCGAAGACGAUCAUAUACCGUCUUAGUCUCAACCAAGGCUAAAACUUAAAGAAAUUGACGGAAGGGCACCACCAGGAGUGGAGCCUGCGGCUUAAUUUGACUAUACACGGGGAAACUUACCAGGUCCAUACAUUAGUAAGGAUUGACAAACUGAGACCUCUUUCUUGAUUCUAUGGGUUGGUGGUGCAUGGCUCUUCUUAGUUGGUGGAGCGAUUUGACUGGUUAAUUCUGUUAACAAAACCUCAGCCUAAUAACUAUCUAUGUGGAGGUAUCCCUUCGCGGACAGCUUCUUAGAGGGACUAAGUACUUUUAGGCUGCGGAAGUUUGAGGCAAUAACAGGUUUGUGACGCCCUUAGAUAUUAUCGGUCGGACACGUGCUACACGGAUGUAUUCAAUAAGCUUAUAGCCUUGGCCGAUAGGCCUGGGUAAUCUUUGAAAUUUCAUAGUGAUUGGGAUAGAUCAUUGAAAUUGUUGGUCUUCAACGAGGAAUACCUAACUCGCGUCGACUAUGUCCAUCCCCUUUGUACACACCGCCCGUCGCUCCUACCGAUUGAAUGAUUGGGUGAAAUGUUUGCAUUGCGGCGACGUGGGCGGUUCGGCAACCGCAACAUCGUUAGUAGUCCAUUGAACCUUAUCAUUUAGAGGAAGGAGAAGUCGUAACAAGGUUUCCGUAGUUGAACCUACGAAAGG